RNAcentral lists this small RNA (26 nucleotides) under Bombyx mori (domestic silkworm). RNAcentral's name for it is "ovarian small RNA-33202". Lineage: Eukaryota; Metazoa; Arthropoda; Insecta; Lepidoptera; Bombycidae. The record is from RNAcentral.
UGAUUUGACAAACGAGGUUGAUGAGC